AGGAUGAACGCUGGCGGCGUGCCUAAUACAUGCAAGUCGAGCGGUAAGGCUACUUCGGUAGUACACGAGCGGCGGACGGCUGAGUAACACGUAGGAACGUACCCCAAAGUGAGGCAUAAGCACCAGAAAUGGUGUCUAAUACCGCAUGUGAUCUUCGGAUUAAAGCUUCGGCGCUUUGGGAACGGCCUGCGCAUGAUUAGCUUGUUGGUGAGGUAAUAGCUCACCAAGGCGACGAUCAUUAGCUGGUCUGAGAGGAUGACCAGCCAGACUGGGACUGAGAACGGCCCAGACUCCUACGGGAGGCAGCAGUAGGGAAUUUUCCACAAUGGGCGAAAGCCUGAUGGAGCAACGCCGCGUGCAGGAUGAAGGCUCUCGGGUCGUAAACUGCUUUUAUAUGUGAAGAUUAUGACGGUAGCAUAUGAAUAAGGAUCGGCUAACUCCGUGCCAGCAGCCGGC
RNAcentral lists this ribosomal RNA (456 nucleotides) under uncultured bacterium. Its description in RNAcentral is "SSU rRNA". It matches the Rfam family "Bacterial small subunit ribosomal RNA", at positions 26 to 518 of the family's 1533-position model. The record is from RNAcentral.